UACGUAGGGGGCGAGCGUUGUCCGGAUUUAUUGGGCGUAAAGAGCUCGUAGGCGGCUUAGCAAGUCGGGUGUGAAAACUCCAGGCUCAACCUGGAGACGCCACUCGAGACUGCUAUGGCUAGAGUCCGGUAGGGGACCACGGAAUUCCUGGUGUAGCGGUGAAAUGCGCAGAUAUCAGGAGGAACACCGGUGGCGAAGGCGACAUCCUGGACCGGUAUUGACGCUGAGGCGCGAAAGCCAGGGGAGCAAACGGG
This 254-nucleotide ribosomal RNA is filed under the name uncultured bacterium. RNAcentral describes it as "partial 16S ribosomal RNA". It matches the Rfam family "Bacterial small subunit ribosomal RNA", at positions 524 to 776 of the family's 1533-position model. The record is from RNAcentral.